GCUGCACCUGGCAUUCUUUAAUAACAGAUAUUCCCUGAAUCUUCCCAGACUCAGACCCCAUGACUCCUUUCACUGUCCAGAAGAUGAAAGGGGUUCAGGACAAGGCUACCCCUGAACCCAGAAAAUUCCAGGGUACCUGGUUUGCUUUUUCAGCAGAACUAAUCUGGAGGGGUUUCAGCUUUUGAAUAAUUUUAAACCAAUAUGAAUGGAGGUGAAGGAAUAUCAGAAAUGGAACAGACUAGGCUAUGACUUUGAAAGUGUUCAGUCACCCAAAGUUUCAAGAACUAAAUGCCAUAUCAGAGUUUGCCAGGAGCUGAGCCAGGCAAAACACCAGUACUUCAGUGAGGAUUGAUGUACUUUACCAGAACUGCAGUGGACUGAUAGCAUCCAAGAGAGAGUAACUUAUCCAUCAUCUAUGCCACAUUUGAACAAAAACUUGAAGGGCUGAAUGCUAUAUAACCACCUUUUUAAACUUGAAACUACAUUUUCCAGGGACUUUGGUACAAUAGGAGAAAAUGUGCACCUGAUUGGGGUUAGUGGUGGUAUUUAUAUUUUGCUGCUUGCUCUAUAUUACUAAAUAUCACUUCGUCAAAGCUAGUUGAUG
RNAcentral lists this long non-coding RNA (604 nucleotides) under Sarcophilus harrisii (Tasmanian devil). Its description in RNAcentral is "lncRNA (ENSSHAG00000030180.1)". Lineage: Eukaryota; Metazoa; Chordata; Mammalia; Dasyuromorphia; Dasyuridae. The record is from RNAcentral.